Molecule: non-coding RNA, 115 nt
Organism: Triticum aestivum (bread wheat)
Lineage: Eukaryota; Viridiplantae; Streptophyta; Magnoliopsida; Poales; Poaceae
Source: Rfam
CUUGUACUCCCUCCGUCCGAAAAUACUUGUCACUGGAAUGGAUGUACCUAGAUGUAUUUUAGUUCUAGACACAUCCAUUUUGAUGACAAGUAAUUCCAGAUGGAGGGAGUACUUG